CGGAGGGUGCAAGCGUUAUCCGGAUUCACUGGGUUUAAAGGGUGCGUAGGAGGGCAGGUAAGUCAGUGGUGAAAUCUUCGAGCUUAACUCGGAAACUGCCGUUGAUACUAUCUGUCUUGAAUACCGUGGAGGUGAGCGGAAUAUGUCAUGUAGCGGUGAAAUGCUUAGAUAUGACAUAGAACACCAAUUGCGAAGGCAGCUCGCUACACGAAUAUUGACUCUGAGGCACGAAAGCGUGGGGAUCAAACAGGAUUAGAUACCCUGGUAGUCCACGCCCUAAACGAUGGAUACUCGACAUACGCGAUACACAGUGUGUGUCUGAGCGAAAGCAUUAAGUAUCCCACCUGGGAAGUACGACCGCAAGGUUG
Molecule: ribosomal RNA, 368 nt
Filed under: uncultured organism
Description: bacterial SSU rRNA
Rfam family: Bacterial small subunit ribosomal RNA
Source: RNAcentral